GAUGAACGCUGGCGGCGUGCCUAAUACAUGCAAGUCGAGCGAAUGGAUUAAGAGCUUGCUCUUAUGAAGUUAGCGGCGGACGGGUGAGUAACACGUGGGUAACCUGCCCAUAAGACUGGGAUAACUCCGGGAAACCGGGGCUAAUACCGGAUAACAUUUUGAACCGCAUGGUUCGAAAUUGAAAGGCGGCUUCGGCUGUCACUUAUGGAUGGACCCGCGUCGCAUUAGCUAGUUGGUGAGGUAACGGCUCACCAAGGCAACGAUGCGUAGCCGAGCUGGGAGGGUGAUUGGCCACACUGGGACUGAGACACGGCCCAGACUCCUACGGUAGGCAGCAGUAGGGAAUCUUCCGCAAUGGACGAAAGUCUGACGGAGCAACGCCGCGUGAGUGAUGAAGGCCUUCGGGUCGUAAAACUCUGUUGUUAGGGAAGAACAAGUGCUAGUUGAAUAAGCUGGCACCUUGACGGUACCUAACCAGAAAGCCACGGCUAACUACGUGCCAGCAGCCGCGGUAA
This 515-nucleotide ribosomal RNA is filed under the name uncultured bacterium. RNAcentral's name for it is "partial 16S ribosomal RNA". It matches the Rfam family "Bacterial small subunit ribosomal RNA", at positions 28 to 523 of the family's 1533-position model. The record is from RNAcentral.